Molecule: ribosomal RNA, 484 nt
Filed under: uncultured Bacillota bacterium
Lineage: Bacteria; Bacillati; Bacillota
Description: bacterial SSU rRNA
Rfam family: Bacterial small subunit ribosomal RNA
Source: RNAcentral
GGCAGCAGUGGGGAAUCUUCGUCAAUGGGGGAAACCCUGAACGAGCGAUGCCGCGUGAGUGAUGACGGUCUUUUCGAUUGUAAAACUCUGUGGUUUGGAAAGAAUGACCAAAGUAGGAAAUGACUUUGGAGUGACGGUACCAUUCUAGAAAGCCCCGGCUAACUAUGUGCCAGCAGCCGCGGUAAUACAUAGGGGGCGAGCGUUGUCCGGAUUUAUUGGGCGUAAAGCGUGUGUAGGCGGUUUAUUAAGUCUAAGGUUAAAGGCUGAAGCUUAACUUCAGUAUGCCUUGGAAACUGGUAGACUUGAGUAUGGUAGAGGCAAGUGGAAUUUCUAGUGUAGCGGUUAAAUGCGUAGAUAUUAGAAGGAACACCAGUGGCGAAGGCGGCUUGCUGGGCUAUUACUGACGCUGAGACACGAAAGCGUGGGGAGCAAAUAGGAUUAGAUACCCUAGUAGUCCACGCCGUAAACGAUGAGUGCUAAGUGU